UAGGGAAUCUUCCACAAUGGACGAAAGUCUGAUGGAGCAACGCGCGUGAGUGAAGAAGGGUUUCGGCUCGUAAAGCUCUGUUGGUAGUGAAGAAAGAUAGAGGUAGUAACUGGCCUUUAUUUGACGGUAAUUACUUAGAAAGUCACGGCUAACUACGUGCC
Molecule: ribosomal RNA, 161 nt
Filed under: uncultured bacterium
Lineage: Bacteria
Description: partial 16S ribosomal RNA
Rfam family: Bacterial small subunit ribosomal RNA
Source: RNAcentral